RNAcentral lists this ribosomal RNA (468 nucleotides) under uncultured bacterium. RNAcentral's name for it is "partial 16S ribosomal RNA". It matches the Rfam family "Bacterial small subunit ribosomal RNA", at positions 28 to 507 of the family's 1533-position model. The record is from RNAcentral.
GACGAACGCUGGCGGCGUGCUUAACACAUGCAAGUCGAACGGAAAGGCCCUGCUUUUGUGGGGUGCUCGAGUGGCGAACGGGUGAGUAACACGUGAGUAACCUGCCCUUGACUUUGGGAUAACUUCAGGAAACUGGGGCUAAUACCGGAUAGGAGCUCCUGCUGCAUGGUGGGGGUUGGAAAGUUUCGGCGGUUGGGGAUGGACUCGCGGCUUAUCAGCUUGUUGGUGGGGUAGUGGCUUACCAAGGCUUUGACGGGUAGCCGGCCUGGGAGGAGGACCGGCCACAUUGGGACUGAGAUACGGCCCGGACUCCUACGGGAGGCAGCAGUGGAGAAUAUUGCACAAUGGGCGGAAGCCUGAUGCAGCAACGCCGCGUGCGGGAUGACGGCCUUCGGGUUGUAAACCGCUUUCGCCUGUGACGAAGCGUGAGUGACGGUAAUGGGUAAAGAAGCACCGGCUAACUACGUG